AUUGAACGCUGGUGGCAUGCUUAACACAUGCAAGUCGAACGGUAACAGGUCUUCGGAUGCUGACGAGUGGCGGACGGGUGAGUAACGCGUAGGAAUCUGCCCAUUUGAGGGGGAUACCAGUUGGAAACGACUGUUAAUACCGCAUAAUAUCUGUGGAUUAAAGGUGGCUUAGGCUGCCGCAGAUGGAUGAGCCUGCGUUGGAUUAGCUAGUUGGUGGGGUAAGGGCCUACCAAGGCUACGAUCCAUAGCUGAUUUGAGAGGAUGAUCAGCCACAUUGGGACUGAGACACGGCCCAAACUCCUACGGGAGGCAGCAGUGGGGAAUAUUGGACAAUGGGGGAAACCCUGAUCCAGCAAUGCCAUGUGUGUGAAGAAGGCUCUAGGGUUGUAAAGCACUUUAGUUGGGGAGGAAAGCCUAUGAGUUAAUAGCUUGUAGGAAGGACGUUACCCAAAGAAUAAGGACCGGCUAACUCCGUGCCAGCAA
RNAcentral lists this ribosomal RNA (483 nucleotides) under uncultured bacterium. Its description in RNAcentral is "bacterial SSU rRNA". It matches the Rfam family "Bacterial small subunit ribosomal RNA", at positions 30 to 514 of the family's 1533-position model. The record is from RNAcentral.